This 497-nucleotide ribosomal RNA is filed under the name uncultured bacterium. RNAcentral describes it as "partial 16S ribosomal RNA". It matches the Rfam family "Bacterial small subunit ribosomal RNA", at positions 28 to 507 of the family's 1533-position model. The record is from RNAcentral.
GAUGAACGCUGGCGGCGUGCCUAAUACAUGCAAGUCGAGCGAACAGAUGAGGAGCUUGCUCCUCUGACGUUAGCGGCGGACGGGUGAGUAACACGUGGAUAACCUACCUAUAAGACUGGGAUAACUUCGGGAAACCGGAGCUAAUACCGGAUAAUAUAUUGAACCGCAUGGUUCAAUAGUGAAAGACGGUUUUGCUGUCACUUAUAGAUGGAUCCGCGCCGCAUUAGCUAGUUGGUAAGGUAACGGCUUACCAAGGCAACGAUGCGUAGCCGACCUGAGAGGGUGAUCGGCCACACUGGAACUGAGACACGGUCCAGACUCCUACGGGAGGCAGCAGUAGGGAAUCUUGCGCAAUGGGCGAAAGCCUGACGGGGCAACGCCGCGUGAGUGAUGAAGGUCUUCGGAUCGUAAAGCUCUGUUAUUAGGGAAGAACAAAUGUGUAAGUAACUAUGCACGUCUUGACGGUACCUAAUCAGAAAGCAACGGCUAACUACGUG